GGGCGCUGGGUGGGCGAGGCGGCGCGGGAGGGGAUUUGCCUCAGGCGGUGGCGCAGGGACCGAUCCGCAGGAAGCCGCCGGCGGCGGCGUGUAAAUAUCCGAGUUUGGGCCGAGAUCACCUCGGGGCCGUGGUGGCAGAGCAGGAAGGUGACACAGAGCUGUGGGGAGCGGUUCGGCCGAGCGCCGGGGCAGCAGAGGAAUGAUUUUCAAAAGGAAUCCAUGCAGUGAAUGUGAUGAACCACCAAUCUACCAGAUGCAACUACCCCAACUCUGUCCUUCAUCAGAUUAAGUUCUCUUCUUACCACACUGAGCUGCAGCAGAAAGGUUAUCUGUUUGCAACCAUGACCAGUCUAGUGUAUACUAUUGUAUACUGCUGGGACUCUGAUGAGAGCUGAUUUCCUUGAAGUCACAGGUCAGCACUGGACAGUUACCUUAGAGAUUCUGGUGUACUGUGAUAAUAGCACAUGCUCCAGCCACUAGAAAUGCUUCUAUAAGCUUUUAAGAGUAUAGUCUUAUUUUUACCUUCUUUCCUUCUUCUCAUGGUGAGCCUCACUUUAUUAACAGUUCUUGGAGUUCAAGCUUUGAUGAAUUGCUCUAUUUUGAAUCCUUUGAUAUUAAUGGAGCUCUUUUGUUAAUGAAAGUAGAAGUUGGUCCUGAAAGUGUAAUUCAUGUCUGGACAGGGCAGAAACAACUGUCUGAUAUUCAGAGCAGGCUAAACAAUACAGUGUUCUCCACUUUUCAUUCUAGGCAUUCAGGGAAGUUAGUGGAAAUCUCAUUUAUUUGAUUUUGUAGUGCUUCACCCAGUUUAUGUUACCUUUGUUUCCUGGAUGACACUGCUGGUCAAGGAUUCCCUUCUUCUGUGAACAAUUUCUGCCCCAUUAACAGAGCAGAAAACCCUAAAAAUGAUUUUAUCACUUGUUUGACUUUGCUCAUGUCACAUAGGGCAUUUGAUCAAAAACAUCUAUACAAUUGCAUGCUACAUAUUUUUCUUAGUUACAGCUUACCAAUAAAAUGCCUGAUUCUAUUUAAUUCUUGCUACCUAUAAACAACUGAAGUCUGUAUGGUGGACAUCAGUAAAUAAUUUCUGUUGAGAAAAAGAAUGCCUAUGCAUCCCUUAUCCCCUUCACCAACAAUCUCUCUCUUUCAUAUGUGAUCGUGUAGUUUAGAUAGUUUGAUAACUGUACAGUAAAGGAAGAAAAUGAGAAUAAAAUAAAUGG
This is a long non-coding RNA of Oenanthe melanoleuca, 1217 nucleotides long. RefSeq lists it as uncharacterized. The transcript is spliced from 3 exons. Lineage: Eukaryota; Metazoa; Chordata; Aves; Passeriformes; Muscicapidae. The record is from RefSeq and is a predicted model, not a curated record.